GCUGGGCACGGAGGUGCACGCCUGUAGUCCCAGAAACUUGGGAGGCUGAGGCAGGAGGAUCAGGAGUUCAAAGCCAGCCUCAGCAAUGUCGAGGCCCAAAGCACCUCAGCGAGACCCUGUCUCUA
This 125-nucleotide small RNA is filed under the name Marmota monax (woodchuck). Lineage: Eukaryota; Metazoa; Chordata; Mammalia; Rodentia; Sciuridae. The record is from RNAcentral.